UGGGGAAUCUUGCGCAAUGGGCGAAAGCCUGACGCAGCAACGCCGCGUGGGUGAUGAAGGUCUUCGGAUCGUAAAGCCCUGUCGGAGGGGAAGAUGUGGUUUUCGUCUAACAGAUGGAGACUGUGACGGUACCCUCAAAGGAAGCACCGGCUAACUCUGUGCCAGCAGCCGCGGUAAUACAGAGGGUGCAAGCGUUGUUCGGAAUUAUUGGGCGUAAAGGGAGUGUAGGCGGUUUUUUAAGUCUCAUGUGAAAUCUGCGGGCUUAGCCUGACAAAGUGCAUGGGAAACUGGAAAGCUUGAGUGUCGGAGAGGACAGGGGAAUACCCGGUGUAGAGGUGAAAUUCGUAGAGAUCGGGUGGAACACCAGUGGCGAAGGCGCCUGUCUGGCUGACAACUGACGCUGAGACUCGAAAGCAUGGGGAGCAAACAGGAUUAGAUACCCGUGUAGUCC
Molecule: ribosomal RNA, 451 nt
Filed under: uncultured bacterium
Lineage: Bacteria
Description: bacterial SSU rRNA
Rfam family: Bacterial small subunit ribosomal RNA
Source: RNAcentral